Acanthosepion pharaonis is the source of this 112-nucleotide non-coding RNA. The record is from the annotation of a GenBank genome assembly. NCBI's taxonomy places the organism in Eukaryota, Metazoa, Mollusca, Cephalopoda, Sepiida, Sepiidae.
UACAGCCAUAUCAUGCUGAAACACUGGUUCUCAUCUGAUCACUAAAAUUAAGCAAUAACAAGCCUGAUCAGUACCUAGAUGGGUGACCACUUGGACUACCAGGUGCUGUAAG